UGCGAGCAUGAGUGCCAGUUACACGGG
Molecule: non-coding RNA, 27 nt
Filed under: Rattus norvegicus (Norway rat)
Lineage: Eukaryota; Metazoa; Chordata; Mammalia; Rodentia; Muridae
Source: RNAcentral